CGCCUCUUGAACAAAAUAAGAGGUCUAGCCUGCCCAGUGACACCAGUUCAACGGCCGCGGUAUCCUGACCGUGCAAAGGUAGCGUAAUCACUUGUUUUUUAAAUAAAGACUAGUAUGAAAGGCACCACGAGAAUCAAACUGUCUCCUUUUUUCUAUCUGUGAAACUAAUCCCCCCGUGAAGAAACGGGGAUUUUUUUAUAAGACGAGAAGACCCUAUGGAGCUUCAGAUAAAAUAAUUACUGCAACCCAAUACUAGUUUGAGAAAAAUACCUGACUGCACUCAAUUAUCUAAUCUUAGGUUGGGGCGACCGCGGAGUAAAAACCACCCUCCACGCUGAAUGGAACCUCCCUAAAUAAAGAGCUACAGCUCUAAAAAUCAAUAAAUUGACAACACUUGACCCAAUUACUUGAUCAACGAAACAAGUUACCCUAGGGAUAACAGCGCAAUCCACUUCAAGAGCCCUUAUCAACAAGUGGGUUUACGACCUCGAUGUUGGAUCAGGGUACCCCAGUGGUGCAGCCGCUACUAAAGGUUUGUUUGUUCAACAAUUAAAACCCUACGUGAUCUGAGU
This 572-nucleotide ribosomal RNA is filed under the name Ischnocnema nanahallux. RNAcentral's name for it is "partial 16S ribosomal RNA". It matches the Rfam family "Bacterial large subunit ribosomal RNA", at positions 1816 to 2610 of the family's 2925-position model. The record is from RNAcentral. Lineage: Eukaryota; Metazoa; Chordata; Amphibia; Anura; Brachycephalidae.